RNAcentral lists this ribosomal RNA (497 nucleotides) under uncultured bacterium. RNAcentral's name for it is "partial 16S ribosomal RNA". It matches the Rfam family "Bacterial small subunit ribosomal RNA", at positions 28 to 507 of the family's 1533-position model. The record is from RNAcentral.
GAUGAACGCUGGCGGCGUGCCUAAUACAUGCAAGUCGAGCGGACGGACGAUAAGCUUGCUUCGCUGAUGUGAGCGGCGCACGGGGGAGAAACAUGUGGAUAACCUACCUAUAAGACGGGGAUAACCUCGGGAAACGGGAGCUUAUACCGGAUGAUAUCCUGAACCGCAUGGUGGAGAAGUGAAAGACGGCCUUGCUGUCACGUAUAGAUGGAUCCGCGCUGCAUUAGCUAGUUGGUAAGGUAACGGCUUACCAAGGCAACGAUUCGUAGCCGACCUGAGAGGAUGAUCGGCCACACUGGAACUGAGACACGGUCCAGACUCCUACGGGAGGCAGCAGUAGGGAAUCUUGCGCAAUGGGCGAAAGCCUGACGCAGCAACGCCGCGUGUGUGAUGAAGGUCUUCGGGUCGUAAAGCUCUGUUAUUAGGGAAGAACAGAUGUGGAAGUAGAUGUGCAGAUCUUGACGGUACCGGAUCAGAAAGCAACGGCUAACUACGUG